RNAcentral lists this ribosomal RNA (366 nucleotides) under uncultured bacterium. RNAcentral describes it as "partial 16S ribosomal RNA". It matches the Rfam family "Bacterial small subunit ribosomal RNA", at positions 338 to 722 of the family's 1533-position model. The record is from RNAcentral.
CCUACGGGAGGCAGCAGUGGGGAAUAUUGCACAAUGGGCGAAAGCCUGAUGCAGCAACGCCGCGUGAGCGAUGAAGGCCUUCGGGUCGUAAAGCUCUGUCUUCAAGGAAGUUAAUGACGGUACUUGAGAAGGAAGCCCCGGAUAACUACGUGCCAGCAGCCGCGGUAAUACGUAGGGGGCUAGCGUUAUCCGGAAUUACUGGGCGUAAAGGGUGCGUAGGUGGUUUCUUAAGUCAGAGGUAAAAGGCUACGGCUCAACCGUAGUGAGCCUUUGAAACUGGGGAACUUGAGUGCAGGAGGGGAGAGUGGAAUUCGUGGUGUAGCGGUGAAAUGCGUAGAUAUUAGGAAGAACACCAGUUGCGAAGGC